CUACGGGAGGCAGCAGUGGGGAAUAUUGGACAAUGGGGGCAACCCUGAUCCAGCCAUGCCGCGUGUGUGAAGAAGGCCUUUUGGUUGUAAAGCACUUUAAGCAGGGAGGAGAGGCUAAUGGUUAAUACCCAUUAGAUUAGACGUUACCUGCAGAAUAAGCACCGGCUAACUCUGUGCCAGCAGCCGCGGUAAUACAGAGGGUGCGAGCGUUAAUCGGAAUUACUGGGCGUAAAGCGAGUGUAGGUGGCUCAUUAAGUCACAUGUGAAAUCCCCGGGCUUAACCUGGGAACUGCAUGUGAUACUGGUGGUGCUAGAAUAUGUGAGAGGGAAGUAGAAUUCCAGGUGUAGCGGUGAAAUGCGUAGAGAUCUGGAGGAAUACCGAUGGCGAAGGCAGCUUCCUGGCAUAAUAUUGACACUGAGAUUCGAAAGCGUGGGUAGCAAACAGGAUUAGAUACCCUGGUAGUCCACGCCGUAAACGAUGUCUACUAGCCGUUGGGGUCCUUGAGACUUUAGUGGCGCAGUUAACGCGAUAAGUAGACCGCCUGGGGAGUACGGCCGCAAGGUUAAAACUCAAAUGAAUUGACGGGGGCCCGCACAAGCGGUGGAGCAUGUGGUUUAAUUCGAUGCAACGCGAAGAACCUUACCUGGUCUUGACAUAGUGAGAAUCUUUCAGAGAUGCGGGAGUGCCUUCGGGAAUUCACAUACAGGUGCUGCAUGGCUGUCGUCAGCUCGUGUCGUGAGAUGUUGGGUUAAGUCCCGCAACGAGCGCAACCCUUUUCCUUAUUUGCCAGCGGGUUAAGCCGGGAACUUUAAGGAUACUGCCAGUGACAAACUGGAGGAAGGCGGGGACGACGUCAAGUCAUCAUGGCCCUUACGACCAGGGCUACACACGUGCUACAAUGGUAGGUACAAAGGGUUGCUACACAGCGAUGUGAUGCUAAUCUCAAAAAGCCGAUCGUAGUCCGGAUUGGAGUCUGCAACUCGACUCCAUGAAGUCGGAAUCGUUAGUAAUCGCGGAUCAGAAUGCCGCGGUUAAUACGUUCCCGGGCCUUGUACACACCGCC
This 1064-nucleotide ribosomal RNA is filed under the name uncultured Moraxella sp. RNAcentral's name for it is "bacterial SSU rRNA". It matches the Rfam family "Bacterial small subunit ribosomal RNA", at positions 339 to 1394 of the family's 1533-position model. Lineage: Bacteria; Pseudomonadati; Pseudomonadota; Gammaproteobacteria; Moraxellales; Moraxellaceae. The record is from RNAcentral.